This 227-nucleotide ribosomal RNA is filed under the name uncultured bacterium. Its description in RNAcentral is "partial 16S ribosomal RNA". It matches the Rfam family "Bacterial small subunit ribosomal RNA", at positions 123 to 334 of the family's 1533-position model. The record is from RNAcentral.
AAUCUACCCCCGAAUUGGGGAUAACAUUGCGAAAGCGAUGCUAAUACCGAAUGAUAUCUUAAGUACCCCGGUAUUUAAGAUCAAAGGUGGCCUCUACAUGUAAGCUAUUGUUUGGGGAUGAGCCCGCGUACCAUUAGCUUGUUGGUAGGGUAACGGCCUACCAAGGCUGCGAUGGUUAGCUGGUCUGAGAGGAUGAUCAGCCACACUGGAACUGACACACGGUCCAG